CCUACGGGGGGCUGCAGUGGGGAAUAUUGGACAAUGGGGGGAACCCUGAUCCAGCCAUGCCGCGUGUGUGAAGAAGACCCUCGGGUUGUAAAGCACUUUCAGUGAGGAAGAACGCCUGGUGGUUAAUACCCAUCAGGAAAGACAUCACUCACAGAAGAAGCACCGGCUAACUCCGUGCCAGCAGCCGCGGUAAUACGGAGGGUGCGGGCGUUAAUCGGAAUUACUGGGCGUAAAGCGCGCGUAGGUGGCUUGAUAAGCCGGUUGUGAAAGCCCCGGGCUCAACCUGGGAACGGCAUCCGGAACUGUCAAGCUAGAGUGCAGGAGAGGAAGGUAGAAUUCCCGGUGUAGCGGUGAAAUGCGUAGAGAUCGGGAGGAAUACCAGUGGCGAAGGCGGCCUUCUGGACUGACACUGACACUGAGGUGCGAAAGCGUGGGUAGCAAACAGGAUUAGAUACCCGUGUAGUC
RNAcentral lists this ribosomal RNA (465 nucleotides) under Vreelandella stevensii. RNAcentral's name for it is "partial 16S ribosomal RNA". It matches the Rfam family "Bacterial small subunit ribosomal RNA", at positions 338 to 795 of the family's 1533-position model. Lineage: Bacteria; Pseudomonadati; Pseudomonadota; Gammaproteobacteria; Oceanospirillales; Halomonadaceae. The record is from RNAcentral.